Molecule: ribosomal RNA, 468 nt
Filed under: uncultured bacterium
Lineage: Bacteria
Description: partial 16S ribosomal RNA
Rfam family: Bacterial small subunit ribosomal RNA
Source: RNAcentral
GACGAACGCUGGCGGCGUGCUUAACACAUGCAAGUCGAACGGAAAGGCCCUGCUUUUGCGGGGUGCUCGAGUGGCGAACGGGUGAGUAACGCGUGAGUAACCUGCCCUUGACUUUGGGAUAACUUCAGGAAACUGGGGCUAAUACCGGAUAGGAGCUCCUGCUGCAUGGUGGGGGUUGGAAAGUUUCGGCGGUUGGGGAUGGACUCGCGGCUUAUCAGCUUGUUGGUGGGGUAGUGGCUUACCAAGGCUUUGACGGGUAGCCGGCCUGAGAGGGUGACCGGCCACAUUGGGACUGAGAUACGGCCCAGACUCCUACGGGAGGCAGCAGUGGGGAAUAUUGCACAAUGGGCGGAAGCCUGAUGCAGCAACGCCGCGUGCGGGAUGACGGCCUUCGGGUUGUAAACCGCUUUCGCCUGUGACGAAGCGUGAGUGACGGUAAUGGGUAAAGAAGCACCGGCUAACUACGUG